AUUGAACGCUGGCGGCAUGCUUUACACAUGCAAGUCGAACGGUAACAGGUUAAGCUGACGAGUGGCGAACGGGUGAGUAAUGCAUCGGAACGUGCCCGGUCGUGGGGGAUAACGCAGCGAAAGCUGCGCUAAUACCGCAUACGAUCUGAGGAUGAAAGCGGGGGACCGUAAGGCCUCGUGCGAUCGGAGCGGCCGAUGUCAGAUUAGGUAGUUGGUGGGGGUAAAGGCUCACCAAGCCAACGAUCUGUAGCUGGUCUGAGAGGACGACCAGCCACACUGGGACUGAGACACGGCCCAGACUCCUACGGGAGGCAGCAGUGGGGAAUUUUGGACAAUGGGCGAAAGCCUGAUCCAGCAAUGCCGCGUGCAGGAAGAAGGCCUUCGGGUUGUAAACUGCUUUUGUACGGAGCGAAAAGGUCUCCUCUAAUACAGGGGGCUCAUGACGGUACCGUAAGAAUAAGCACCGGCUAACUACGUGCCAGCCGCCGCCGUAA
RNAcentral lists this ribosomal RNA (494 nucleotides) under uncultured bacterium. RNAcentral describes it as "partial 16S ribosomal RNA". It matches the Rfam family "Bacterial small subunit ribosomal RNA", at positions 30 to 523 of the family's 1533-position model. The record is from RNAcentral.